RNAcentral lists this small nuclear RNA (107 nucleotides) under Catagonus wagneri (Chacoan peccary). Lineage: Eukaryota; Metazoa; Chordata; Mammalia; Artiodactyla; Tayassuidae. The record is from RNAcentral.
AUACUCACUUCAAGAGCACAGAGACUAAAACUGGGAUGAUAUCGAGAAGAUGGGCACGGUCUCCGCACAAGGAUGACACGCAAAUCCGUGAAGCAGUCCGUAUUUUU